RNAcentral lists this long non-coding RNA (742 nucleotides) under Olea europaea (common olive). RNAcentral's name for it is "long non-coding RNA (OEUR_LNC001475)". Lineage: Eukaryota; Viridiplantae; Streptophyta; Magnoliopsida; Lamiales; Oleaceae. The record is from RNAcentral.
AAAAAUCCUAAAACUACGCAUAAACAUUAAAUUAUUUAGAAAAUCAUUCGUUUGCAUGCCGAAAAUAAUACAUAGCAUUUAGUUUAGACAAUUCAAAAGUAGAUCUCGACAGUUCUUUGAAUUUCUCUACAGUUUCGCCUGUUAUAUGUUACGUAAAUCUACAUAUAAAAAGAAAUAGCAUGUAAAUUACAAAAUUCAAGAACAUAAAAUCAACAAAUUGUUAAGAAAUUAAAACAAAAAUUUAAGCAGCUUAAUUACCAGAAGCAAAGAGGGAUGAGGAGGGAUAUGGACCAAAGUGAGAACAGCCUUUGAAACAAUAGCAGCAACUGGGACGUUGAUGACAGAUUCAACUAGACUUUGGACCAUACUGGGUGGAGCUAAGACAACGACGAUGGAUGAAUGGUUUUGUGAACUUAAUAGCCAAAAGCAUGAUUUCCUUUGCCUUUUUAGUUUCUAGCUUAGAUUUUGUCCCACUGCCGCAUAAAAUCAAAUCAAAAAGUUAUAAGCUAAAAAAUUAUAAAUAGCAAGCCAUAAAUUCAAGGCUGAUAGUAAACAAGAAAUUUAACUUGAGAUCAGUUUUCUUUUGAGGGAUAAUGAGUGUGUUGAGUUUUUCAUGAGUCGGAGUUUCAUAUUUCUCCAUUAUUUGGGAAAAAAAAAAAAAAAAAAAGAAGUUUCUUCGUCUCAGUUGCUGUUGGAGCUUCUUUUGUCAACAAAAUGAAAAUAAUAAUGAAGAGGAUGUGAG